RNAcentral lists this ribosomal RNA (837 nucleotides) under Escherichia coli. RNAcentral's name for it is "partial 23S ribosomal RNA". It matches the Rfam family "Bacterial large subunit ribosomal RNA", at positions 349 to 1191 of the family's 2925-position model. Lineage: Bacteria; Pseudomonadati; Pseudomonadota; Gammaproteobacteria; Enterobacterales; Enterobacteriaceae. The record is from RNAcentral.
GGCGCGCGAUACAGGGUGACAGCCCCGUACACAAAAAUGCACAUGCUGUGAGCUCGAUGAGUAGGGCGGGACACGUGGUAUCCUGUCUGAAUAUGGGGGGACCAUCCUCCAAGGCUAAAUACUCCUGACUGACCGAUAGUGAACCAGUACCGUGAGGGAAAGGCGAAAAGAACCCCGGCGAGGGGAGUGAAAAAGAACCUGAAACCGUGUACGUACAAGCAGUGGGAGCCUCUUAAUGGGGUGACUGCGUACCUUUUGUAUAAUGGGUCAGCGACUUAUAUUCUGUAGCAAGGUUAACCGAAUAGGGGAGCCGAAGGGAAACCGAGUCUUAACUGGGCGUUAAGUUGCAGGGUAUAGACCCGAAACCCGGUGAUCUAGCCAUGGGCAGGUUGAAGGUUGGGUAACACUAACUGGAGGACCGAACCGACUAAUGUUGAAAAAUUAGCGGAUGACUUGUGGCUGGGGGUGAAAGGCCAAUCAAACCGGGAGAUAGCUGGUUCUCCCCGAAAGCUAUUUAGGUAGCGCCUCGUGAAUUCAUCUCCGGGGGUAGAGCACUGUUUCGGCAAGGGGGUCAUCCCGACUUACCAACCCGAUGCAAACUGCGAAUACCGGAGAAUGUUAUCACGGGAGACACACGGCGGGUGCUAACGUCCGUCGUGAAGAGGGAAACAACCCAGACCGCCAGCUAAGGUCCCAAAGUCAUGGUUAAGUGGGAAACGAUGUGGGAAGGCCCAGACAGCCAGGAUGUUGGCUUAGAAGCAGCCAUCAUUUAAAGAAAGCGUAAUAGCUCACUGGUCGAGUCGGCCUGCGCGGAAGAUGUAACGGGGCUAAACCAUG